UGGGGAAUAGUGCACAAUGGAGGGAACUCUGAUGCAGCGACGCCGCGUGAGUGAUGAAGGAAUUCGUUUCGUAAAACUCUGUUCUAUGGGAAGAAAAGGACUGUACCAUAGGAGAAAGCUCCGGCUAAAUACGUGCCAGCAGCCGCGGUAAUACGUAUGGAGCGAGCGUUGUCCGGAAUUAUUGGGAGUAAAGGGUGCGCAGGCGGCUUUACAAGUUGGAUGUGAAAUAUUGUGGCUCAACCACAAACGUGCAUCCAAAACUGCAAAGCUUGAGUUAAGGAGAGGUAAGUGGAAUUCCUGGUGUAGCGGUGGAAUGCGUAGAUAUCAGGAGGAAUACCGGUGGCGAAGGCGACUUACUGGACUUAAACUGACGCUCAGGCACGAAAGCGUGGGGAGCAAACAGG
This 404-nucleotide ribosomal RNA is filed under the name Fusobacteriota bacterium. RNAcentral's name for it is "Fusobacteria bacterium partial 16S ribosomal RNA". It matches the Rfam family "Bacterial small subunit ribosomal RNA", at positions 355 to 776 of the family's 1533-position model. Lineage: Bacteria; Fusobacteriati; Fusobacteriota. The record is from RNAcentral.